RNAcentral lists this ribosomal RNA (484 nucleotides) under uncultured bacterium. RNAcentral describes it as "partial 16S ribosomal RNA". It matches the Rfam family "Bacterial small subunit ribosomal RNA", at positions 29 to 507 of the family's 1533-position model. The record is from RNAcentral.
AUUGAACGCUGGCGGCAUGCUUUACACAUGCAAGUCGAACGGCAGCGCGGGCUUCGGCCUGGCGGCGAGUGGCGAACGGGUGAGUAAUGCAUCGGAACGUGCCCAGUAGUGGGGGAUAGCCCGGCGAAAGCCGGAUUAAUACCGCAUACGACCUGAGGGUGAAAGCGGGGGACCGAAAGUCCUCGCGAUAUUGGAGCGGCCGAUGUCGGAUUAGCUAGUUGGUGGGGUAAAGGCUUACCAAGGCGACGAUCCGUAGCUGGUCUGAGAGGACGACCAGCCACACUGGGACUGAGACACGGCCCAGACUCCUACGGGAGGCAGCAGUGGGGAAUUUUGGACAAUGGGGGCAACCCUGAUCCAGCCAUGCCGCGUGCGGGAAGAAGGCCUUCGGGUUGUAAACCGCUUUUGUUCGGGAAGAAAUCCUCUGGGCUAAUACCCCGGGGGGAUGACGGUACCGGAAGAAUAAGCACCGGCUAACUACGUG